Molecule: long non-coding RNA, 233 nt
Filed under: Elaeis guineensis (African oil palm)
Lineage: Eukaryota; Viridiplantae; Streptophyta; Magnoliopsida; Arecales; Arecaceae
Description: long non-coding RNA (EGUI_LNC000227)
Source: RNAcentral
GUGUGCGCUGGUACAUCGAUGAUGAAUUAUUAUUUUCCAAUCAGGAAGCGAAGAGAGCGUGCAUCCAUCCACGAAUAUCAAACACGUUGGAACUUUUUUUCCCAACUGAUUUCGUGUCCCAAUCCAACAACUAAAUCACCGUAAUUAACAUCUAUCCCCUCUUAAUUGCCCGUUUAAUGAAAUAAAGAGACAAAGAACUCCAUCACUCACCCUUGGAUUCCAAUCAAACGGAC